AAGUUUAGUCUGGGAAAGAAAAAUUUUGAAAAUUUUUUAAAAGUGUUCAAUUCACUUAUAAACUUA
RNAcentral lists this transfer RNA (66 nucleotides) under Sepia officinalis (common cuttlefish). RNAcentral describes it as "tRNA-Ser". The record is from RNAcentral. Lineage: Eukaryota; Metazoa; Mollusca; Cephalopoda; Sepiida; Sepiidae.